RNAcentral lists this ribosomal RNA (254 nucleotides) under uncultured bacterium. RNAcentral's name for it is "partial 16S ribosomal RNA". It matches the Rfam family "Bacterial small subunit ribosomal RNA", at positions 524 to 776 of the family's 1533-position model. The record is from RNAcentral.
UACGAAGGGUGCAAGCGUUACUCGGAAUUACUGGGCGUAAAGCGUGCGUAGGUGGUUUGUUAAGUCUGCUGUGAAAGCCCCGGGCUCAACCUGGGAAUGGCAGUGGAUACUGGCAAGCUAGAGUGCGGUAGAGGGGUGUGGAAUUCCCGGGUGUAGCGGUGAAAUGCGUAGAUAUCGGGAGGAACACCUGUGGCGAAAGCGGCGCACUGGACCAUAACUGACGCUGAUGCGCGAAAGCUAGGGGAGCAAACAGG